Molecule: ribosomal RNA, 711 nt
Filed under: Debaryomyces fabryi
Lineage: Eukaryota; Fungi; Ascomycota; Pichiomycetes; Serinales; Debaryomycetaceae
Description: LSU rRNA
Rfam family: Eukaryotic large subunit ribosomal RNA
Source: RNAcentral
ACAAUAUAACAAACAAGUUUGACCUCAAAUCAGGUAGGAUUACCCGCUGAACUUAAGCAUAUCAAUAAGCGGAGGAAAAGAAACCAACAGGGAUUGCCUUAGUAACGGCGAGUGAAGCGGCAAAAGCUCAAAUUUGAAAUCUGGCACCUUCGGUGUCCGAGUUGUAAUUUGAAGAAGGUAACUUUGGAGUUGGCUCUUGUCUAUGUUCCUUGGAACAGGACGUCACAGAGGGUGAGAAUCCCGUGCGAUGAGAUGCCCAAUUCUAUGUAAAGUGCUUUCGAAGAGUCGAGUUGUUUGGGAAUGCAGCUCUAAGUGGGUGGUAAAUUCCAUCUAAAGCUAAAUAUUGGCGAGAGACCGAUAGCGAACAAGUACAGUGAUGGAAAGAUGAAAAGAACUUUGAAAAGAGAGUGAAAAAGUACGUGAAAUUGUUGAAAGGGAAGGGCUUGAGAUCAGACUUGGUAUUUUGCGAUCCUUUCCUUCUUGGUUGGGUUCCUCGCAGCUUACUGGGCCAGCAUCGGUUUGGAUGGUAGGAUAAUGACUAAGGAAUGUGGCUCUACUUCGGUGGAGUGUUAUAGCCUUGGUUGAUACUGCCUGUCUAGACCGAGGACUGCGUCUUUGACUAGGAUGCUGGCAUAAUGAUCUAAGCCACCCGUCUUGAAACACGGACCAAGGAGUCUAACGUCUAUGCGAGUGUUUGGGUGUAAAACCCGU